This 497-nucleotide ribosomal RNA is filed under the name uncultured bacterium. RNAcentral describes it as "partial 16S ribosomal RNA". It matches the Rfam family "Bacterial small subunit ribosomal RNA", at positions 28 to 507 of the family's 1533-position model. The record is from RNAcentral.
GAUGAACGCUGGCGGCGUGCCUAAUACAUGCAAGUCGAGCGAACGGACGAGAAGCUUGCUUCUCUGAUGUUAGCGGCGGACGGGUGAGUAACACGUGGAUAACCUACCUAUAAGACUGGGAUAACUUCGGGAAACCGGAGCUAAUACCGGAUAAUAUUUUGAACCGCAUGGUUCAAAAGUGAAAGACGGUCUUGCUGUCACUUAUAGAUGGAUCCGCGCUGCAUUAGCUAGUUGGUAAGGUAACGGCUUACCAAGGCAACGAUGCAUAGCCGACCUGAGAGGGUGAUCGGCCACACUAGAGCUGAGACACGGUCAAGACGCCUAAGGGAGGCAGCAGUAGGGAAUCGUACGCAAUGGGCGAAAGCAUGACGGAGUAACGCCGCGUGAGUGAUGAAGGUGUUCGGAUCGUAAAACUCGGUUAUGAGGGAAGAACAGAUGUGGAAGUAAAUGAGCACAGAGUGACGGUACCUAAUCAGAAAGCCACGGCUAACUACGUG